UGGGGAAUAUUGGGCAAUGGGCGCAAGCCUGACCCAGCAACGCCGCGUGAGGGAAGAAGGCUUUCGGGUUGUAAACCUCUGUCCUUGGUGACGAAAAGAAUGACGGUAGCCAAGGAGGAAGCCCCGGCUAACUACGUGCCAGCAGCCGCGGUAAUACGUAGGGGGCGAGCGUUGUCCGGAAUUACUGGGCGUAAAGGGUGCGUAGGUGGCCUUUUAAGUUGGAUGUGAAAUACCCGGGCUUAACUUGGGGGGUGCAUCUAAUACUGGGAGGCUAGAGUGCAGGAGAGGAAAGCGGAAUUCCUAGUGUAGCGGUGAAAUGCGUAGAUAUUAGGAGGAACACCAGUGGCGAAGGCGGCUUUCUGGACUGUAACUGACACUGAGGCACGAAAGCGUGGGGAGCAUACAG
RNAcentral lists this ribosomal RNA (406 nucleotides) under uncultured bacterium. Its description in RNAcentral is "bacterial SSU rRNA". It matches the Rfam family "Bacterial small subunit ribosomal RNA", at positions 355 to 775 of the family's 1533-position model. The record is from RNAcentral.